This 262-nucleotide ribosomal RNA is filed under the name uncultured bacterium. RNAcentral's name for it is "partial 16S ribosomal RNA". It matches the Rfam family "Bacterial small subunit ribosomal RNA", at positions 793 to 1055 of the family's 1533-position model. The record is from RNAcentral.
GUCCUGGCCGUAAACGUUGGGCACUAGGUGUGGGAGGUAUCGACCCCUUCCGUGCCGUAGCUAACGCAUUAAGUGCCUCACCUGGGGGAGUACGACCGCAAGGUUGAAACUCAAAGGAAUUGACGGGGCCCGCACAAGCGGUGGAGUAUGCGGUUUUAAUUCGAGGCAACGCGAAGAACCUUACCCGGGCUUGACAUCACCGAAGGAUCCAUGCUUGCUGGAAACAGCAAGAUUAGGAAGACAGGUGUUGCAUGGCUGUCGU